Molecule: non-coding RNA, 2120 nt
Organism: Taeniopygia guttata (zebra finch)
Lineage: Eukaryota; Metazoa; Chordata; Aves; Passeriformes; Estrildidae
Source: RefSeq, a predicted model, not a curated record
AAGAAAGAAAGAAAAAGAAAGAGAAAGAAAGAAAGAAAGAAGAAAAAAAUCUUCCUAUGUAAUUGCUUGGCAAAAAUAACAUUUUUACUUUCUACAGAAAGCCAAAGACAACUGUCAGUGGAAAAAAUGACAAUAUUCAAAAAGACAUGUUUCAUACACUAGUCGCUAGACAACUCAUAAUAUUGCAACUUUUCUCCAUGAUAAGUUUCUCCCCUUUGGGGAAAGAGAAUAACAGAAUAUCUCAUGAGAAGGGACCCAUAGUCAAGUCCAUCUCCCCACUUCUCACAGAACUACCUAAAACUAAACUACACAUGGCUAAGAGCAACAUCCAGAUGUUCCCUGAACUUUGAAAAGCUUGGUUCCAUGACCACUCCCCUGAAUAGCUGUUCCAGUGACUGCCCAGCCUGUGGUGAAGGACGUUUACCUAGUGUCCUAUCCAAACUUCCUCUGAUGCAGCUUCAUUACCUUUUCUCUUGUCCUAUCAGAGUUCAUCAGAGAAAAAAGAUCAGAACCUCCCCCUCUACUGUCCACUUUGAGGAAGUUGCAGUCUAUGAUGAAGUCAUCCCUCAGCCUUUUCUUCUUCAAACCAAACAAAACACAUGACUUCAGCUGGUUGCCCUCAAGACAAUGACAUUUUCCAUUUGACGAUUUUGUUUCCUUCUCAGUUCUUUUGUAAAAGUGGACCAGCUGCUUAUGUUCCUUUAGGAAUGUAGAAGAGAAAAUACUUUAAUCAUCGAAGUAUUUUUAUGUCCCUUGUUGGAGGAUUGACAAAGUGACUGUGUGGGACUUAGCUGGCUACCAGAGUUUAAUCACAACACACAUAAAUCAGCAAUGUCUUUGCAGAGACCCUACAGAGACAAAAGCUUGAGUCCCAAGCUGCAAGGAAUAUACUGCAAAUACAAAUCACACUGAAGGAAACAUCAGGGACCAAGACAAGGAAGACAGGGAAGGCAAGGAAGGCCUUCUGGCAGCAGGAGGAAAUCAUUCUCUACCUGCAUGUUUUCAGCUUCAGAAAAUAUAUAUUACACUAAGAAAAGUGAGAAGGAAGAGCGCUCAGAAUGGAUCACCUGUGUCUAUGAGAUUGAAGAAAGUGUCUGCAAGGAAUAUGGAGGCAAACAAUAGUGGCUGGAGAUUAUGUUCUUAAGGGAUGUGUCUAAUCAUUUGCCAAUCCAACUUGAUGUCCUAGGAGUUUUGCUGCUUGGUCAAAGCUCUUAUGAUGGGUGAUGAUAAGAGAUUGCUAAGGCAUUUCCAGUCCUCCAACUACUAGCUCUUACGAUUCACCAUGUGUCCUUGCAACAAAGGUCAGCAGCAUCCUGGGAUGUGUUAGCAAGGGUAUCGGCAGUAGGUCAAGGGGAAUGAUUCUUCAUCUCAGUCCAGCACUGGAGUAAAACAUUCAGUGCUGUGUUUCCUACUACAAACAAGACAUGGGUACACUGAAGUGAGUCCAGCAGAGACCACCUACAUGGUAAGGGAAAAAAAAAAGAGAUUCUAAGAUGGUCAGGCUGGAGACGAAAAAGGUGAUGGGAGAUCUUAUUGCUGUCUACAGCUAUGUAAUGCAAGGUUGUAAAAAUAAUAAAGCAGGACUCCUCUGAAUGAUUCAGUAGGACAGAAGCCAAAACACUUAAAAAUCUGUCUAGAUAUAAGACAAUACUUUUUUGUCAUGUGGGCGAUCUAGCCUACAAUCUUCCCAAGGGAAGCUGUGGAAAUGACACAUUUGGAGAUAUUCAAGGCUCCAAGCUGGAUGAGGCCCUGAAGACCUUUGUCUUACUGCACCACAUCUGAAGUAGGCUUUAGAAUCUACAACAUCAAGAUGCUCCUUCCAAUCAAAAUUAUUUGUGAUUCUGUGAUUCCAGAUUCUGCUUUCUUUAUAUAAGUGUAUAUAAAACUUAUGGCUAUUGCCCCCUAAAUAUAACUUACAUUGGUGAAUGCCUCUGUGAGGGUCUGGGUGGCAGGUCUAUUAACCAUUACAAUUAGGUUUUUUGACCCUUAGUACCCCCAAUAAAAUUUCCACAUAUCUUGUAAGAGGUAUGGUGUGGCUUCAAUACAGAAGUGAAAACUUACUCUUUUGAUGUGUUAUAGAUAAGAAUGGAUACAGAAUAAAUUCUGUAUUUAAAUUUAAA